RNAcentral lists this ribosomal RNA (253 nucleotides) under uncultured bacterium. Its description in RNAcentral is "partial 16S ribosomal RNA". It matches the Rfam family "Bacterial small subunit ribosomal RNA", at positions 524 to 776 of the family's 1533-position model. The record is from RNAcentral.
UACGUAGGGGGCAAGCGUUGUCCGGAAUCAUUGGGCGUAAAGAGCGUGUAGGCGGCUCGGUAAGUCCGCUGUGAAAUCUCGAGGCUCAACUUCGAGCUGUCGGUGGAAACUAUCUGGCUAGAGUCCGGAAGAGGAGAAUGGAAUUCCUGGUGUAGCGGUGAAAUGCGCAGAUAUCAGGAAGAACACCCGUGGCGAAGGCGGUUCUCUGGGACGGUACUGACGCUGAGACGCGAAAGCGUGGGGAGCGAACAGG